This 31-nucleotide non-coding RNA is filed under the name Homo sapiens (human). The record is from RNAcentral. Lineage: Eukaryota; Metazoa; Chordata; Mammalia; Primates; Hominidae.
UGCUAACAAUCCCAUUUAAUCCUCACAACCA